AACGAACGCUGGCGGCAUGCCUACCCAAUGCAAGUGAAACGGGACCUUCGGGUUUGGGGGCCCCGGGGUGGUUAACGGGUGGGAACUGGCCCUUGGGUUGGGAUAACCUCCCGGAAGGGGGGGUUAUUACGGAUAAAUUUCUCGGACCCAAAAAUUUAUCGCCUUUGGAUGGGCCCGCGUUGGAUUAGCUGGUUGGUAGGGUAAAGGCCUACCAAGGCGACGAUCCAUAGCUGGUCUGAGAGGAUGAUCAGCCACACUGGGACUGAGACACGGCCCAGACUCCUACGGGAGGCAGCAGUGGGGAAUAUUGGACAAUGGGCGAAAGCCUGAUCCAGCAAUGCCGCGUGAGUGAUGAAGGCCUUAGGGUUGUAAAGCUCCUUUACCCGGGAUGAUAAUGACAGUACCGGGAGAAUAAGCUCCGGCUAACUCCGUG
This 433-nucleotide ribosomal RNA is filed under the name uncultured bacterium. Its description in RNAcentral is "partial 16S ribosomal RNA". It matches the Rfam family "Bacterial small subunit ribosomal RNA", at positions 29 to 507 of the family's 1533-position model. The record is from RNAcentral.